CACUGCUCUGACGGAUGCUUUUAUUAGACCAAGCCGCUGAGGACUUGAGGGUUCGCUCUCCUGUCCGACUCGUGUAAUGGUGACUCUGGAUAACCAAUUCUGACAAGCGCACGUACUUCUCUUCUGAGCGAGACGGCGCUGCCACUUUCGAGUGUCUGCCUUAUCAGCUAUCAACCGUUCGUUAUGCGCGACCGAUGGCUUUGACGGGUAACGGGGAAUCAGGGUUCGAUUCCGGAGAGGCAGCCUGAGAGACGGCUACCACGUCCAAGGACGGCAGCAGGCACGCAAAUUACCCAAUCCCAGCAAAUGGGGGAGGUAGUGACGAAAUCUAACGAUGCGGGCGCCCUUUCUGGGGCCCCGCAAUCGGAAUGGGCACUUUCUAAACAACCUGUUGAGAACCUACUGAAGGGCAAGUCUGGUGCCAGCAGCCGCGGUAAUUCCAGCUUCAGCAGCAUCUAUUAAAGUUGCUGCGGUUAAAAGGCUCGCAGUUGAAUGUCUGUAUCGAGCGCAGGUCAGGUGGACGUUGGGGCGUGGAAGUACGGGCAGUUGGAUGUCCGUGGGGCCUUCGUGCUCAACGGCUCCUUCGGCUUUUCCACACACCCCCGUCCGUGACAAGCCUCCUCGCUCGGGUACAUAACGGGAAUCGGUCAAACGGAGUGUGGUUGGAGGUUGGGGUGCGUGGCUUCUGUUGCGUGCUUCUUCUUUCGGCUGCGUUAAGCUCCAUCGGUUUCACGGUCACCUUGAGUAAAUCAGAGUGCUCAAAGCAGUCGUAGGGGCCUUGCGCCCUGUGAACAGUCUUGACGGACUGACUUGGUUUUGCAUGGCAUGUCGGAAGACGACGUCGUGUGCUGGCUCAGAGGAUAAAUCAGUGGUACAAGCCAGCCUCGACGUAAUGAUUAAAAGGGACGGUCGAGGGCAUUGGUAUUGCGAGGCGAGAGGUGAAAUUCUGUGACCCCCGCAAGACCUCCUGAAGCGAAAGCGUCUGCCAAGGACGUUUU
RNAcentral lists this ribosomal RNA (998 nucleotides) under Gammarus cf. balcanicus 1ROCOT. RNAcentral's name for it is "partial 18S ribosomal RNA". It matches the Rfam family "Eukaryotic small subunit ribosomal RNA", at positions 187 to 970 of the family's 1831-position model. The record is from RNAcentral. Lineage: Eukaryota; Metazoa; Arthropoda; Malacostraca; Amphipoda; Gammaridae.